This 3439-nucleotide ribosomal RNA is filed under the name Rhodalgimonas zhirmunskyi. Its description in RNAcentral is "23S ribosomal RNA". It matches the Rfam family "Bacterial large subunit ribosomal RNA". Lineage: Bacteria; Pseudomonadati; Pseudomonadota; Alphaproteobacteria; Rhodobacterales; Roseobacteraceae. The record is from RNAcentral.
AAUCAAGCGCGAAAAGGGCGUUUGGUGAAUGCCUUGGCAGUAAGAGGCGAUGAAAGACGUGAUACUCUGCGAUAAGCCAUGGGGAGCUGAGAAUAAGCUUUGAUCCAUGGAUUUCUGAAUGGGGGAACCCACCUGACAGUUUGAUAUAAUUGCACUUCGGUGCAGCUUAUAUCCGACUGAACCAGGUAUUUAUAACCUGAAUACAUAGGGUUAUAAAAGCAAACCCGGGGAACUGAAACAUCUAAGUACCCGGAGGAAAGGAAAUCAAUUGAUACUCCCCUAGUAGCGGCGAGCGAACGGGGACCAGCCGAGCCUUGAAAGUGAUCAGAAUGUGUUGGGAAGCACAGCCAUAGUGGGUGAUAGCCCCGUAUGAGAAGCUCGAUAGGACGUAUUAAGUAGGGCGGAACACGUGAAAUUCUGUCUGAAGAUCGGAGGACCACCUUCGAAGGCUAAGUACUCCUUACUGACCGAUAGUGAACCAGUACCGUGAGGGAAAGGUGAAAAGCACCCCGACGAGGGGAGUGAAACAGUUCCUGAAACCGAACGCCUACAAUCAGUCGGAGCUUGACUGGACUCUAAUGACAAUCCUGACGGCCUGAUGUAAGCCUCCUGCAAAGAGCAGAGGGAAAGCAUCAUGGACGGAAGUUUGGCAAUCUUGUUUCUCGUGGCGGGUCUGACCGACAUGGGAAUCAAUCACUGUGGUCAAGGCGGUUGCCUUGCACAGGCCGACGCGCGGCCCGAAAUCGGGCUCAGCUACGGCGACCUGAUCUUUCAGGACAAGAGUGUCGGGAAAGAAACCUAUAUUACCUACGGCCUUGGUCGUAUGUAUGGUCCUUUCCAGCCGGCAAUCGGCGCAUCUGUAACGAACCAUGGCGAUGCCUGGAUCGGGAUCGGUGCGACGUAUACGGCCAACUUCGCGGCAGACCGGCUUUACGCCAAAAUGUCGCUCAUGCCCGGCUAUUACAGCCGCGGCAGUGGACCGGAUCUUGGCCAUGACCUCGAGUUUCGCUCGGGUCUGGAGCUGGGAUACAAGGCCCGCAACGGGAUCAAGGUCGGUCUCAGCUAUGACCACAGGUCUAACGCUGACAUAUCGUCCGUUAAUCCGGGGAUGGAAACGAUCCAGCUACGGGUCAGCUUCCCCCUCAAAUAACCAGAAAUGGUUGUCAUUAGUGUCCAGUCUUGUGACGGCGUACCUUUUGUAUAAUGGGUCAUCGACUUGGUCUCACGAGCAAGCUUAAGCCGUUAGGUGUAGGCGCAGCGAAAGCGAGUCUUAAUAGGGCGGAUGAGUUCGUGGGAUCAGACCCGAAACCGAGUGAUCUAGGCAUGACCAGGCUGAAGGUAAGGUAACACUUACUGGAGGGCCGAACCCACACCUGUUGAAAAAGGUCGGGAUGAGUUGUGCCUAGGGGUGAAAGGCCAAUCAAACUCGGAGAUAGCUGGUUCUCUGCGAAAUCUAUUUAGGUAGAGCGUCAUCCGAAUACCCCGGGGGGUAGAGCACUGGAUGGGUAAUGGGGCCCCACAGGCUUACUGAUCCUAACCAAACUCCGAAUACCCGGGAGUACUAGAUGGCAGACACACUGCGGAUGCUAACGUCCGUAGUGGAGAGGGAAACAACCCUGACCUCCAGCUAAGGCCCCUAAUUCAUGGCUAAGUGGGAAAGCAGGUGGGACGACCAAAACAACCAGGAGGUUGGCUUAGAAGCAGCCAUCCUUUAAAGAUAGCGUAACAGCUCACUGGUCUAAAUAAGUUGUCCUGCGGCGAAGAUGUAACGGGGCUCAAGCCAUGAGCCGAAGCUGAGGAUGCCGUAAGGCAUGGUAGCAGAGCGUAGUGUGACAUAGUUCCAUGCGUCCUUAACCUUGUUCGCAAGGUAUUGGACGCAAGGAGCUUUCGAUGAAGCCGGGGCGUGAGCCAUCCGGUGGAGAGAUCACUAGCGAGAAUGAUGACAUGAGUAGCGACAAACAGGGUGAGAGACCCUGUCGCCGAAAGUCCAAGGGUUCCUGCUUAAAGCUAAUCUGAGCAGGGUAAGCCGACCCCUAAGGCGAGGCCGAAAGGCGUAGUCGAUGGGAACCAGGUUAAUAUUCCUGGGCCGUGGAGUGGUGACGGAUCAUGAAGGUAGUUCAUCCUUAUUGGAUUGAAUGGGCUGCUGAUUGGUUCCUGGAAAUAGCCCUCCUAUAAGAUCGUACCCUAAACCGACACAGGUGGACUGGUAGAGAAUACCAAGGCGCUUGAGAGAACUAUGUUGAAGGAACUCGGCAAAAUACCUCCGUAAGUUCGCGAGAAGGAGGCCCGGUUCCUAGGCAACUAGGGGCUGGGGGCACAAACCAGGGGGUGGCGACUGUUUACUAAAAACACAGGGCUCUGCGAAGUCGCAAGACGACGUAUAGGGUCUGACGCCUGCCCGGUGCCUGAAGGUUAAAAGGAGAGGUGAGAGCCUUGAAUUGAAGCCCAGGUAAACGGCGGCCGUAACUAUAACGGUCCUAAGGUAGCGAAAUUCCUUGUCGGGUAAGUUCCGACCUGCACGAAUGGCGUAACGACUUCCCCGCUGUCUCCAACAUAGACUCAGCGAAAUUGAAUUGCCUGUCAAGAUGCAGGCUUCCCGCGGUUAGACGGAAAGACCCCGUGCACCUUCACUACAGCUUCGCACUGGCAUCAGGCACAAUAUGUGCAGGAUAGGUGGUAGGCUUUGAAGCAGGAACGCCAGUUUCUGUGGAGCCUCCCUUGAGAUACCACCCUUAUUCUGCUUGAUGUCUAACCGCGGUCCGUUAUCCGGAUCCGGGACCCUGCGUGGCGGGUAGUUUGACUGGGGCGGUCGCCUCCUAAAGAGUAACGGAGGCGCGCGAAGGUUGGCUCAGACCGGUCGGAAAUCGGUCGUUGAGUGCAAUGGCAGAAGCCAGCCUGACUGCGAGACUGACAAGUCGAGCAGAGACGAAAGUCGGUCAUAGUGAUCCGGUGGUCCCGAGUGGAAGGGCCAUCGCUCAACGGAUAAAAGGUACGCCGGGGAUAACAGGCUGAUACUGCCCAAGAGUCCAUAUCGACGGCAGUGUUUGGCACCUCGAUGUCGGCUCAUCUCAUCCUGGGGCUGGAGCAGGUCCCAAGGGUACGGCUGUUCGCCGUUUAAAGAGGUACGUGAGCUGGGUUUAGAACGUCGUGAGACAGUUCGGUCCCUAUCUGCCGUGGGUGUAGGAUACUUGAGAGGAGUUGCCCCUAGUACGAGAGGACCGGGGUGAACGUUCCACUGGUGGACCAGUUGUCGUGCCAACGGCAGUGCUGGGUAGCUAUGAACGGACAGGAUAACCGCUGAAGGCAUCUAAGCGGGAAGCCCCCCUCAAAACAAGGUAUCCCUGAGGACCGUGGAAGACCACCACGUCAAUAGGCCGGAGAUGUAAGUGCAGCAAUGCAUUCAGUUGACCGGUACUAAUCGUCCGAUAGGCUUGAUUUG